CGCGCUCCACACAGAUUAUAUCUGAAUUGAGGCCAUCCAACUGAAUCAGUGAUGUAACACCAGUAGUUGAGACUAAUAGGGAUAUUAGUUGUCAAUUACACAAAUGGUGU
This 110-nucleotide small RNA is filed under the name unclassified sequences. RNAcentral's name for it is "COG3943 RNA". It matches the Rfam family "COG3943 RNA". From Rfam's summary of the family: cow rumen. Environment (Cow rumen (57)) The record is from Rfam by way of RNAcentral.